AUGUAGAAACGGCCCCGGGGUACUUAACCGUACGGUAAUUGCUAUUUAGAAACGUGGCAGGCUAGAGUCUUGUAGGAGGGGGUAGAAUUUCAGGUGUAGCGGUGAAAUGCGUAGAGAUCUGAAGGAAUACCAGUGGCGAAGGCGGCCCCCUGGACAAAGACUGACGCUCAGAUGCGAAAGCGUGGGGAGCAAACAGGAUUAGAUACCCUGGUAG
Molecule: ribosomal RNA, 214 nt
Filed under: uncultured bacterium
Lineage: Bacteria
Description: partial 16S ribosomal RNA
Rfam family: Bacterial small subunit ribosomal RNA
Source: RNAcentral